UGGACAGAUUAUUGUAUUCGACUGUAUUCACAGCGUAAAACAGGGGAUUACACUGUUUUUAAAUGGAAAGUGAAUCAAUUAACAUAAUAGACUCCU
This is a microRNA precursor of Nicotiana attenuata, 96 nucleotides long. It matches the Rfam family "MIR6152 microRNA precursor family". NCBI's taxonomy places the organism in Eukaryota, Viridiplantae, Streptophyta, Magnoliopsida, Solanales, Solanaceae. The record is from Rfam.